AACUUUUCGAAUCCGUGCUGAGAUUUCGUCAGACACCGACCCAUUAGGGCUGAUCAAUCUUCCAAGAUAAGUGAAGUU
Molecule: non-coding RNA, 78 nt
Organism: Schistosoma curassoni
Lineage: Eukaryota; Metazoa; Platyhelminthes; Trematoda; Strigeidida; Schistosomatidae
Source: Rfam